RNAcentral lists this non-coding RNA (105 nucleotides) under Paraburkholderia sacchari. RNAcentral's name for it is "Burkholderia sacchari TPP sequence". It matches the Rfam family "TPP riboswitch aptamer (THI element)". Rfam says of the family: Vitamin B(1) in its active form thiamin pyrophosphate (TPP) is an essential coenzyme that is synthesised by coupling of pyrimidine and thiazole moieties in bacteria. The previously detected thiamin-regulatory element, thi box was extended, resulting in a new, highly conserved RNA secondary structure, the THI element, which is widely distributed in eubacteria and also occurs in some archaea. The record is from Rfam by way of RNAcentral. Lineage: Bacteria; Pseudomonadati; Pseudomonadota; Betaproteobacteria; Burkholderiales; Burkholderiaceae.
CUGACGAAACAGGGGUGCUUCACUGGCAGGCCGCCGUGAGGCUGAGAGAGACCCUUCGCACCCGAUCCGGGUAAUACCGGCGCGGGAAGUUUCCGGAAAGUCUUG